Molecule: ribosomal RNA, 303 nt
Filed under: uncultured Sphingomonas sp.
Lineage: Bacteria; Pseudomonadati; Pseudomonadota; Alphaproteobacteria; Sphingomonadales; Sphingomonadaceae
Description: bacterial SSU rRNA
Rfam family: Bacterial small subunit ribosomal RNA
Source: RNAcentral
GCGUAACGCGUGGGAAUCUGCCCUUGGGUUCGGAAUAACAGUCGGAAACGACUGCUAAUACCGGAUGAUGACGAAAGUCCAAAGAUUUAUCGCCCAGGGAUGAGCCCGCGUAGGAUUAGCUAGUUGGUGAGGUAAAGGCUCACCAAGGCGACGAUCCUUAGCUGGUCUGAGAGGAUGAUCAGCCACACUGGGACUGAGACACGGCCCAGACUCCUACGGGAGGCAGCAGUAGGGAAUAUUGGACAAUGGGCGCAAGCCUGAUCCAGCAAUGCCGCGUGAGUGAUGAAGGCCUUAGGGUUGUAA